UGCCGUGAUGAGGAACCUGCUCACACACAGAGACUUGCUCCUACUCUGCCACAAGAGAUGCAGCACUGACGUCGGCUGAUGAAGCCCGGACCGCUGCCCAGGUUGAGGUCAGCUGUUGUCAGAGCUCUCAGCAGUGACAUCAUGGAUUACCUCACCAUGAGAACAUGUUCACCAGGGACGUGGCCUACAUGCCGACGCUGGACUCUGUCCUGGGUCGCCCUGGAUGAUGCAGCUUGUCGCAUCUCAAUCCCACCUGCAGGAAGCAUUAGUGUGCAGUGGACAUAAAUCAGAGAGAGGUGCGAAGGCAUUAAACCAACUGCAGGCAGGAUUGACUAAGAUCAUGUCGACUGAUGUGCCAGAACAGAUGCACAGUGAAACUCGGACAUGUCAACAAAGUGAGACACAAGCAGAAGUCCAGGCCUCCCGAACGACG
Long non-coding RNA from Solea senegalensis (Senegalese sole), 433 nucleotides. RefSeq lists it as uncharacterized. Lineage: Eukaryota; Metazoa; Chordata; Actinopteri; Pleuronectiformes; Soleidae. The record is from RefSeq and is a predicted model, not a curated record. The transcript is spliced from 4 exons.